Molecule: ribosomal RNA, 942 nt
Filed under: uncultured bacterium
Lineage: Bacteria
Description: bacterial SSU rRNA
Rfam family: Bacterial small subunit ribosomal RNA
Source: RNAcentral
AGGGGAGUGGCGGACGGGUGAGUAACGCGUGGGAAUUUUCCUCAAGGUACGGAACAACUCAGGGAAACUUGGGCUAAUACCGUAUGAUGCAGCGAUGCCAAAGAUUUAUCGCCUUGGGAUAAGCCCGCGUCAGAUUAGGUAGUUGGUGGGGUAACGGCCUACCAAGCCUGCGAUCUGUAACUGGUCUGAGAGGACGAUCAGCCACAUUGGGACUGAGACACGGCCCAAACUCCUACGGGAGGCAGCAGUGGGGAAUCUUGCGCAAUGGGCGAAAGCCUGACGCAGCCAUGCCGCGUGAAUGAUGAAGGUCUUAGGAUUGUAAAGUUCUUUAGCCUGUGACGAUGAUGACGGUAACAGGAGAAUAAGCCCCGGCUAACUUCGUGCCAGCAGCCGCGGUAAUACGAAGGGGGCUAGCGUUGUUCGGAAUUACUGGGCGUAAAGCGCGCGUAGGCGGUUUUACAAGCCAGAGGUGAAAUGCCAGAGCUUAACUUGGGAAUUGCCUUUGGAACUGUAUGACUUCGAGGACGAGAGAGGUGAGUGGAAUUCCCAGUGUAGAGGUGAAAUUCGUAGAUAUUGGGAAGAACACCGGCGGCGAAGGCGGCUCACUGGCUCGUUUCUGACGCUGCAGCGCGAGAGCGUGGGGAUCAAACAGGAUUAGAUACCCUGGUAGUCCACGCUGUAAACGAUGAGUGCUAGGCGUCGGCACGCUUGCGUGUCGGUGCCGCAGCUAACGCGUGAAGCACUCCGCCUGGGGAGUACGGUCGCAAGAUUAAAACUCAAAGGAAUUGACGGGGGCCCGCACAAGCGGUGGANCAUGUGGUUUAAUUCGACGCAACGCGCAGAACCUUACCAGCCCUUGACAUGCCGNGCUACUCACAGAGAUGUGGGGUCCCCUCACGGGGCGCGGANACAGGUGCUGCAUGGCUGUCGUCAGCUCGNGUC